RNAcentral lists this transfer RNA (73 nucleotides) under Ovis aries (sheep). It matches the Rfam family "tRNA". Rfam says of the family: Transfer RNA (tRNA) molecules are approximately 80 nucleotides in length. Their secondary structure includes four short double-helical elements and three loops (D, anti-codon, and T loops). Lineage: Eukaryota; Metazoa; Chordata; Mammalia; Artiodactyla; Bovidae. The record is from Rfam by way of RNAcentral.
UCCCUGAUGGUCCAAUGGUUAGGAUGCUGUGCUUUCACUGCCAAGGGUAUGGGUUCAAUUCCCGGUCAGGGAG